Myodes glareolus (Bank vole) is the source of this 487-nucleotide non-coding RNA. The record is from RefSeq and is a predicted model, not a curated record. NCBI's taxonomy places the organism in Eukaryota, Metazoa, Chordata, Mammalia, Rodentia, Cricetidae.
GACCACCAAAGAGACAGCAUGUAACUUGCCCAGCUGAGAAAGCUGUUGGUAGAUCUGAUGGAGACUUCUCAGCUACUUGUCCAUCACCAACUCUGUCUGCCUGGGCACUACCAUGCUGAUAAUGGACUAAAGUUCUGAAACUAGCUACCAACCCAGAUAGUUUUCGAGUCCCACCAUCCAAAAUACACCAUGGGAAGCAUGACCAACCACCUCUAGGCCCGUGUUCAGAAUGAGGCAUCUUUGAGGACUUCAUCCUUCAAGCUGCUUCUAAUCAGCUGAGACUCUUGAAGAGGCCAUCACAGCUUUUCUGCGCUCAUUUUUCUUCUCUUCUCAAAGAGAGGAACUGGAUGAAGCCUAGAGCCAGGCUCCAGUCUAAACUGCCAUGGUUAGCUCGGAGACUCUCCUUGCAGGAACCUGCAAUGCUUUUUCUUCUGGGCUGGAUGGGAAAACUGUGUGUGCUCUGCUGCUCAGCAGGAAAACGAGGCCA